This 210-nucleotide long non-coding RNA is filed under the name Elaeis guineensis (African oil palm). Its description in RNAcentral is "long non-coding RNA (EGUI_LNC046142)". Lineage: Eukaryota; Viridiplantae; Streptophyta; Magnoliopsida; Arecales; Arecaceae. The record is from RNAcentral.
GGGCGCUUGAGUACUUUAAAGAGAACACCUUUGGGUAAUUCGACCGGAGCCAACAUUGCUAGCUUGGAGAGAAAGUUGGCCCUGGUAUUUUCCAACCUCGAAAUCUGCCUGAUGUCAAAGCUGCCGAAGGCGGGGAUGAGCUCUUUUACCUUUUCAAGAUAUUUAGCCAUGCUGUCCUCCCGUGCCUCGUAGUUUUCGUUGACUUGUCCC